Molecule: ribosomal RNA, 253 nt
Filed under: uncultured bacterium
Lineage: Bacteria
Description: partial 16S ribosomal RNA
Rfam family: Bacterial small subunit ribosomal RNA
Source: RNAcentral
UACAGAGGUCCCAAGCGUUGUUCGGAUUCACUGGGCGUAAAGGGUGCGUAGGCGGUCGGGUAAGUCUGACGUGAAAUCUUCAAGCUCAACUUGGAAACUGCGUCCGAUACUAUUCGGCUAGAGGAAUGGAGGGGAGACUGGAAUACUUGGUGUAGCAGUGAAAUGCGCAGAUAUCAGGAGGAACACCGGUGGCGAAGGCGGGUCUCUGGGCCGAUACUGACGCUGAGGAGCGAAAGCGUGGGGAGCGAACAGG